Molecule: ribosomal RNA, 490 nt
Filed under: uncultured bacterium
Lineage: Bacteria
Description: partial 16S ribosomal RNA
Rfam family: Bacterial small subunit ribosomal RNA
Source: RNAcentral
CUUUCCCUCUUUCUUCAGGCCUAACACAUGCAAGUCGAACGGUAACAGGAAGAAGCUUGCUUCUUUGCUGACGAGUGGCGGACGGGUGAGUAAUGUCUGGGAAACUGCCUGAUGGAGGGGGAUAACUACUGGAAACGGUAGCUACUACCGCAUAACGUCGCAAGACCAAAGAGGGGGACCUUCGGGCCUCUUGCCAUCGGAUGUGCCCAGAUGGGAUUAGCUAGUAGGUGGGGUAACGGCUCACCUAGGCGACGAUCCCUAGCUGGUCUGAGAGGAUGACCAGCCACACUGGAACUGAGACACGGUCCAGACUCUUACGGGAGGCAGCAGUGGGGAAUAUUGCACGAUGGGCGCAAGCCUGAUGCAGCCAUGCCGCGUGUAUGAAGAAGGCCUUCGGGUUGUAAAGUACUUUCAGCGGGGAGGAAGGGAGUAAAGUUAAUACCUGUGCUCAUUGACGUUACCCGCAGAAGAAGCACCGGCUAACUCCGUG